UUGAAUUGCAGGACAGAUAUAGUUAAUGCUUCUUCCCUAGCCUAUCUUUGCUUAAUGCAGGUGUGUAAACACAUAACAUUGAUGCGGCUUCCGCAUAAGAAGCUGGGACAUCCAUUUUCAGGGCAGCUAGAUCUUUGAUUUUUUUUUACUUGUUCACAUGCGGCGUAAAGCAACUUGAAUUGAAACUGGAAUUGAGAGACAAUCCACAUCAAAAAAAAAGGCACUUUUAUCUGAAAUCUGUUGAACAAAAGUUAUUUGAGCUGCUGCAUUUCAAAAUUAAGAAGGUCAAUAAAAUGUAAUGGACCGUCUUCUGUUUACUCAUGUUCAGGAAGAGGAUGCCAAUUGUCAGGUUCUGCCAACUCCUAAUUGAACAGCUCUUCUGUAAACAAGUCUAAAUGAAUAAAGGAGAAACAAUCAAAC
Long non-coding RNA from Carcharodon carcharias (great white shark), 420 nucleotides. RefSeq lists it as uncharacterized. The record is from RefSeq and is a predicted model, not a curated record. NCBI's taxonomy places the organism in Eukaryota, Metazoa, Chordata, Chondrichthyes, Lamniformes, Lamnidae. The transcript has 3 exons.